AGAAUCUUCCACAAUGGGCGAAAGCCUGAUGGAGCAACGCCGCGUGUGUGAUGAAGGGUUUCGGCUCGUAAAACACUGUUGUAAGAGAAGAAUGACAUUGAGAGUAACUGUUCAAUGUGUGACGGUAUCUUACCAGAAAGGAACGGCUAAAUACGUGCCAG
This 161-nucleotide ribosomal RNA is filed under the name uncultured bacterium. Its description in RNAcentral is "partial 16S rRNA". It matches the Rfam family "Bacterial small subunit ribosomal RNA", at positions 358 to 511 of the family's 1533-position model. The record is from RNAcentral.